AGUGAACGCUGGCGGUAGGCCUAACACAUGCAAGUCGAACGGCAGCACAGUAAGAGCUUGCUCUUACGGGUGGCGAGUUGCGGACGGGUGAGGAAUACAUCGGAAUCUACUUUUUCGUGGGGGAUAACGUAGGGAAACUUACGCUAAUACCGCAUACGGCCUACGGGUGAAAGCAGGGGAUCUUCGGACCUUGCGCGAUUGAAUGAGCCGAUGUCGGAUUAGCUAGUUGGCGGGGUAAAGGCCCACCAAGGCGACGAUCCGUAGCUGGUCUGAGAGGAUGAUCAGCCACACUGGAACUGAGACACGGUCCAGACUCCUACGGGAGGCAGCAGUGGGGAAUAUUGGACAAUGGGCGCAAGCCUGAUCCAGCCAUACCGCGUGGGUGAAGAAGGCCUUCGGGUUGUAAAGCCCUUUUGUUGGGAAAGAAAAGCAGCAGGUUAAUACCCCGCUGUUCUGACGGUACCCAAAGAAUAAGCACCGGCUAACUUCGUG
Molecule: ribosomal RNA, 492 nt
Filed under: uncultured bacterium
Lineage: Bacteria
Description: partial 16S ribosomal RNA
Rfam family: Bacterial small subunit ribosomal RNA
Source: RNAcentral